GGUGUAAUGAUAGCGGCGAACGGGUGAGUUAACACGUUGGAACCUGCCCCCAAGUCAGGGGAUAGCCAAGGGAAACCUUGGAUAAUACCGGAUAGUCUCUUAGGAGUAAAAAUUUAUUGCUUGGGGAGGGGCCUGCGGACUAUCAGCUAGUUGGUAAGGUAAGAGCUUACCAAGGCUAUGACGGAUAACUGGUCUGAGAGGAUGAUCAGUCACAAUGGAACUGAGACACGGUCCAUACUCCUACGGGAGGCAGCAGUGAGGAAUCUUCCACAAUGGACGAAAGUCUGAUGGAGCGACACCGCGUGAAGGAAGAAGGCCUAACGGUUGUAAACUUCUUUUCUGAAGGAGCAUAAUGAGAGUACUUUAGGAAUAAGGGACGGCUAAAUACGUGCCAGCAGCCGCGGUAAUACGUAUGUCCCGAGCGUUACCCGGAAUAACUGGGUGUAAAGGGUUUGUAGGUUGAUGGUUAAGUCAGAUAUGAAAGACCGAAGCUUAACUUCGAGUUAGUAUUUGAAACUGGCUAUCUAGAAUCAGGGAGAGGUAAGCGGAAUUCUAAGUGUAGGGGUGCAAUCCGUAGAUACUUAGAGGAACCCC
Molecule: ribosomal RNA, 594 nt
Filed under: uncultured bacterium
Lineage: Bacteria
Description: bacterial SSU rRNA
Rfam family: Bacterial small subunit ribosomal RNA
Source: RNAcentral